AGUGAACGCUGGCGGUAGGCCUAACACAUGCAAGUCGAACGGCAGCACAGUAAGAGCUUGCUCUUACGGGUGGCGAGUGGCGGACGGGUGAGGAAUACAUCGGAAUCUACUUUUUCGUGGGGGAUAACGUAGGGAAACUUACGCUAAUACCGCAUACGACCUACGGGUGAAAGCAGGGGAUCUUCGGACCUUGCGCGAUUGAAUGAGCCGAUGUCGGAUUAGCUAGUGGGCGGGGUAAAGGACCACCAAGGCGACGAUCCGUAGCUGGUCUGAGAGGAUGAUCAGCCACACUGGACCUGUGACACGGUCCAGACUCCUCCGGGAGGCCGCAGUGGGGAAUAUUCGACCAUGCGCGCAAGCCUGCUCCAGCCAUACCGCGUGGGUGAAGAAGGCCUUCGGGUUGUAAAGCCCUUUUGUUGGGAAAGAAACGCAGCAGGUUAAUACCCCGCUGUUCUGACGGUACCCAAAGAAUAAGCCCCGGCUAACUUCGUG
This 492-nucleotide ribosomal RNA is filed under the name uncultured bacterium. RNAcentral's name for it is "partial 16S ribosomal RNA". It matches the Rfam family "Bacterial small subunit ribosomal RNA", at positions 29 to 507 of the family's 1533-position model. The record is from RNAcentral.